GUUAGAUUAGCAAAGUUUAGUGCAAAUAAUUUAGAAUUAUUUUAGGAGUUAAUAAAUCUCAUCUAAUA
Molecule: transfer RNA, 68 nt
Filed under: Cyanoplax caverna
Lineage: Eukaryota; Metazoa; Mollusca; Polyplacophora; Chitonida; Tonicellidae
Description: tRNA-Leu
Source: RNAcentral